This 869-nucleotide ribosomal RNA is filed under the name uncultured bacterium. RNAcentral describes it as "bacterial SSU rRNA". It matches the Rfam family "Bacterial small subunit ribosomal RNA", at positions 9 to 873 of the family's 1533-position model. The record is from RNAcentral.
AGAGUUUGAUCCUGGCUCAGAUUGAACGCUGGCGGCAUGCUUUACACAUGCAAGUCGAACGGCAGCGCGGGCUUCGGCCUGGCGGCGAGUGGCGAACGGGUGAGUAAUAUAUCGGAACGUACCCAAGAGUGGGGGAUAACGUAGCGAAAGUUACGCUAAUACCGCAUACGAUCUAAGGAUGAAAGCAGGGGACCGCAAGGCCUUGUGCUCCUGGAGCGGCCGAUAUCUGAUUAGCUAGUUGGUGAGGUAAAGGCUCACCAAGGCAACGAUCAGUAGCUGGUCUGAGAGGACGACCAGCCACACUGGAACUGAGACACGGUCCAGACUCCUACGGGAGGCAGCAGUGGGGAAUUUUGGACAAUGGGGGCAACCCUGAUCCAGCAAUGCCGCGUGAGUGAAGAAGGCCUUCGGGUUGUAAAGCUCUUUUGUCAGGGAAGAAAAGGUCGUGGCUAAUAUCCACGACUGCUGACGGUACCUGAAGAAUAAGCACCGGCUAACUACGUGCCAGCAGCCGCGGUAAUACGUAGGGUGCAAGCGUUAAUCGGAAUUACUGGGCGUAAAGCGUGCGCAGGCGGUUUCGUAAGUCUGUCGUGAAAUCCCCGGGCUUAACCUGGGAAUGGCGAUGGAGACUGCGAGGCUAGAGUUUGGCAGAGGGGGGUAGAAUUCCACGUGUAGCAGUGAAAUGCGUAGAGAUGUGGAGGAACACCGAUGGCGAAGCAGCCCCCUGGGUCAAAACUGACGCUCAUGCACGAAAGCGUGGGGAGCAAACAGGAUUAGAUACCCUGGUAGUCCACGCCCUAAACGAUGUCUACUAGUUGUUGGGUCUUAAUUGACUUAGUAACGCAGCUAACGCGUGAAGUAGACCGCCU